UGCCAGCCGCCGCGGUAAUACGGAGGGUGCAAGCGUUAAUCGGAAUUACUGGGCGUAAAGCGAGUGUAGGCGGCUACGUAAGUCGGAUGUGAAAGCCCUGGGCUCAACCUGGGAAUGGCAUUCGAUACUGCGUAGCUAGAGUCUGACAGAGGGAUGUGGAAUUCCGGGUGUAGCGGUGAAAUGCGUAGAGAUCCGGAGGAACACCAGUGGCGAAGGCGGCAUCCUGGGUCAAGACUGACGCUGAGGCUCGAAAGCGUGGGGAGCAAACAGGAUUAGAUA
RNAcentral lists this ribosomal RNA (279 nucleotides) under uncultured bacterium. Its description in RNAcentral is "partial 16S ribosomal RNA". It matches the Rfam family "Bacterial small subunit ribosomal RNA", at positions 506 to 784 of the family's 1533-position model. The record is from RNAcentral.